This 71-nucleotide transfer RNA is filed under the name Magnusiomyces magnusii. RNAcentral describes it as "tRNA-Phe". It matches the Rfam family "tRNA". From Rfam's summary of the family: Transfer RNA (tRNA) molecules are approximately 80 nucleotides in length. Lineage: Eukaryota; Fungi; Ascomycota; Dipodascomycetes; Dipodascales; Dipodascaceae. RNAcentral also lists the same sequence under 2 other names. The record is from RNAcentral.
GUUCUUAUAGCUUAGUGGUAAAGCGUUAAACUGAAGAUUUAAUUACAUUGGUUCGAUUCCUUUUAAGAACA